UACGUAGGGGGCAAGCGUUGUCCGGAAUUAUUGGGCGUAAAGGGCGCGUAGGCGGCCAUGCGUGUCUUCCGUGAAAUCCCUCGGCUUAACUGAGGACGUGCGGAAGAAACUGCAAUGCUCGAGUCCGGGAGAGGGGGGUGGAAUUCCCAGUGUAGCGGUGAAAUGCGUAGAUAUUGGGAGGAACACCGGUGGCGAAGGCGGCCCCCUGGACCGGUACUGACGCUGAGGCGCGAAAGCGUGGGUAGCAAACGGG
RNAcentral lists this ribosomal RNA (253 nucleotides) under uncultured bacterium. Its description in RNAcentral is "partial 16S ribosomal RNA". It matches the Rfam family "Bacterial small subunit ribosomal RNA", at positions 524 to 776 of the family's 1533-position model. The record is from RNAcentral.